Molecule: long non-coding RNA, 6968 nt
Filed under: Arabidopsis lyrata
Lineage: Eukaryota; Viridiplantae; Streptophyta; Magnoliopsida; Brassicales; Brassicaceae
Description: long non-coding RNA (ALYR_LNC002936)
Source: RNAcentral
AAUCGACGGUGAUCUCGCUCUUACAAAGAUUUUACGAUCCAGAUUCCGGUCAUAUAACUUUAGACGGAGUUGAGCUCAAGAAGCUGCAAUUGAAAUGGUUGAGACAACAAAUGGGACUAGUGGGACAAGAACCUGUCUUGUUCAACGACACGAUCCGAGCCAAUAUUGCUUAUGGCAAAGGAAGUGAAGAGGCCGCAACCGAGUCUGAAAUCAUAGCCGCUGCAGAACUCGCCAAUGCACACAAAUUCAUCUCUAGCAUACAACAGGUAAGAAAAGAAAAUAAUUUUCAAAUUAUUUUUCUUCUAUAGAAACUCUGUUUUUCAAAGUUUACUUACGACGCAAGCAAAACAUUUUUUUUUUAGGGUUACGACACAGUGGUGGGAGAGAGAGGGAUUCAAUUAUCAGGAGGACAGAAACAGCGCGUAGCUAUAGCACGCGCCAUCGUGAAAGAGCCGAAGAUAUUGCUUUUGGACGAAGCAACAAGCGCUCUUGAUGCGGAAUCAGAACGAGUGGUUCAGGAUGCGCUUGACCGAGUGAUGGUAAACCGAACCACGAUAGUGGUGGCUCACCGGUUAUCCACUAUUAAAAACGCUGACGUCAUUGCCGUCGUUAAGAACGGUGUGAUUGCUGAGAAAGGGACUCACGAGACGUUGAUCAAAAUCGACGGCGGGGUUUAUGCUUCACUUGUUCAGCUUCACAUGACUGCUUCUAAUUGAUACAUUUUGAUGAUAUAUUUUUGGUUUAUGAGAGCUAAAAACUUCAGUUUUUGGCUUGAGUCAAAACUAGCCUAUGUACAAAAAGGUUUUGUAUUUAUUUUUUGUUUUGUUUCCAUAACAACAUAUAUUGUUGUUGUAUACAAGUUAAUGAAGUGAUAUAUAUUGUCUUUCAAGCAUGCCUGUUUCUUGAAUAUCUUGAAUUUUUGUUGACUUUUAAGCUUAGUUGCUGCCAUGGAAGUUAGUCAACUUUCGGUAAAAUGAAAAUCCUCUCAGUCUCUGUUAAUUUGUGUAAAUUAUCUACGGAAUUAUUGUCUGUUCUCCACUUAUUUCCUUUUUCAAUUUCUGAUUGGGUUUUGUGUUUUAAUUUGAUCUCUGAUUUUACGAGUAAGCCAAAAGCAUGUGACUCUUUUCCCCUUUAAUUAACAUAAUCUGUUCAUCCAAUUACUAUAACAAAUCACUUCUCUAAUAACUACCACUCUCUAGUCUCUCCAUCUGUCACAUGUCUAAGUCUUAAAUUCUCCUUCUUUCUCUUAAUUAAUUAUUUUCACUAUUAAUUAAAAGUAAAAAAAAGAAUCUUAUUCAUUACUACUAUAAAUUGAUGAGAAAUUGUUAAAAAUGCCCCUUUUUCAAUACCCCUUUUCAAAAAUGCCCCCUUUGAGAGUCCAUUUUUAAGUUUGCCCUCUUUUAAUUUUUAAUGACCAUUUUACCCUUAUUUGAAACAAAAUUAUGUCCACAAAAUACAAAAUAUUUUUUGGCGGGAAAAGUGAUCCCGCAAUUUUUCCGCCAAAACACUUGUAAAAACCUUUAAAAAACCUUGUAAAAUUUUUCCGUAAAAAUUUUUCCCGCCAAAAAAUUUUCCCGCCAAAAAAAUUUUUUUGCGGGAAAAGUGAUUCCGCAAUUUUUUUUGCGAAAUUUUUUUGGCGGGAAAAUUUUUGGCGGGAAAAAUUUACAAGGUAUUUUAAAGGUUUUUUACAAGGUAUUUACAAGUGUUUUGUAAGGUUUUACAAUGUAUUUUAAAAGGUUUUACAAUGUACUUUUAAGGUUUUAUAAGGUAUUUAUAACUUGUAAAACCUUAUAAAAAACUUGUAAAACCUUAUAACUUGUAAAAACCUUAUAAAAUAGCUUGUAAAAUCUUAUAAUAUCUUAUAAAUACCUUGUAAAUACGUUGUAAAACCUUUUAAACUCCCAUAUUAAAACUUUCUUAAAUACCUUGUAAAAAACCUUUAAAAAUCCCUUGUAAAUUUUUGGGCGGGAAAAAUUUUCCCGCCAAAAAUUUAACGCCAAAAAAAUUGCGGAAUCACUUUUCCCGCAAAAAAAAUUUUUGGCGGGAAAAUUUUUUGGCGGGAAAAAAUUUUACGGGAAAAUUUUACAAGGUAUUUUAAAGGUUUUACAAAUUUUUACAAGUGUUUUGGCGGGAAAAAUUGGGGGAUCACUUUUCCCGCCAAAAAAUAUUUUGUAUUUUGUGGACCUAAUUUUGUUAUAUUUUCCUUAUAUAUUUAUGAUAUCUUUUAUUAAAAGAAGGGUAAUUUAGUCAUUUUGUACAUAAAAGGGGUAUUUUUAAAAAUGGACAUCCAAAUGGGGCAUUUUUGAAAAGGGGUAUUAAAAAAGGGGCAUUUUUGUGAGUCUCCCUAAAUUGAUUAAAACAAAAAAGUAUCAAACGAUGAAACUUUGUUACUACUAUAAAUUGAUAAAUUUCAUUUUUUGUUAGACCUAAUUUUAUUUCCAUUAAAUCUUUGUACUAAACUACUAAUAUAAUACUAUACAUUAGUAAUUUAAUAUUUUUAAUUUAUUCAACAUUCAUAUAUAAAGUUAUAAAAUAAUUAUUAAAAAAAUAAAAUUUUACCUAAAUUUAAAUUUAUGCUCAUACUAGUUGGUGAUAAUUUGUGGGAACUGUUUAGAUUGAAAUUUAAUAAAAGGACCACUCUUUACACAAAUCACAACUCACAAGUGGGGUUUUCUGGGUUUUAGGAAGAAGAAAGCUAUAGUCUUUAUCAUUAUAUAAUAUAUACCGUCGAUUUCGAUCUGGGAAUGAUCAGAUUUCUUAAGAAAAUUCUGAAUUGUGUCAGCGCCGGAAAAUGAACCGUGACGGCGCUGGAGAAGGCGACUCUGUUUCAUACGAACCAUCAACAGCUAAAAGUUCUAAAGAAGGAGAAGAGACGAAGAAAGAGGAAAAAAGAGAUGAAAAGGCGAAGACAGUUCCUUUCUACAAGCUAUUUGCGUUUGCAGAUUCCUUUGAUGUGUUCUUGAUGAUAUGUGGCUCAAUCGGAGCUAUUGGGAAUGGUGUGUGUUUACCUCUUAUGACAUUGUUGUUUGGUGAUCUCAUAGAUUCCUUUGGAAAAAAUCAGAACAACAAAGACAUUGUUGAUGUUGUCUCGAAGGUAAAAAUCAAAACUUUCUAACCUUAUGAUUGUAUCCUUAGAUCACAUUACUAAUAAUGUGUCUUCGUAUAGGUUUGUCUUAAAUUCGUCUACCUUGGACUUGGAAGACUUGGAGCAGCCUUUCUUCGUAAGUCAUCACCUGCGAUUUGCUUGUUUCGAGAAUUGAGGAAGAAAAGUUUUGUUCUUUUGGUUUCCCCAUUGCAUUUUACUUAAGGGUUAGAUAAUUAAGGAGUUGAUGUUGUUCUUGUUCUUCUUGUUGUAGAGGUUGCUUGUUGGAUGAUUACGGGAGAGAGACAAGCUGCAAGGAUAAGAAGUACGUAUCUGAAAACAAUUCUGAGACAAGACAUUGGAUUCUUCGAUUUGGAAACUAACACAGGAGAGGUUGUCGGUAGAAUGUCUGGAGAUACUGUUCUUAUUCAAGAUGCCAUGGGUGAAAAGGUAAUGCAAUGGAUAUACAAGCUUAUAUAUAAUGAUUGGAUUCGUUUUUGAAGUUUGUUACUUUUCUUAAAUCUUGCAGGUUGGGAAGUUUAUUCAGCUGGUAUCUACUUUCGUUGGCGGAUUUGUUUUAGCUUUCAUUAAAGGAUGGUUACUAACAUUGGUUAUGUUAACUUCCAUCCCUCUUCUGGCUAUGGCUGGUGCAGCCAUGGCCCUUAUCGUCACUAGAGCUUCUUCUCGAGGACAAGCCGCUUAUGCAAAAGCAGCAACUGUUGUUGAACAGACUAUCGGAUCUAUCCGAACGGUAAACCUCAAUCUUUCUAAGCUACAAAACACUCUUUAACUCUUUUGUUACUUGAUUUUUUCUUUUGUUUUGGUUUGAAGGUUGCUUCGUUUACGGGAGAGAAGCAAGCCAUUAACAGCUACAAGAAGUUCAUAACAUCGGCGUAUAAAUCAAGCAUUCAACAAGGUUUCUCCACCGGUUUAGGACUUGGAGUAAUGUUCUUCGUGUUUUUCAGCAGCUAUGCUUUGGCUAUUUGGUUUGGUGGGAAGAUGAUACUCGAAAAAGGGUAUACUGGUGGCGCUGUGAUCAACGUGAUCAUCAUUGUGGUUGCGGGUUCAAUGUAAGUAAAAUCCUUGACAAUCACUUCUAUAGAUAUAUAUACUUAAAGAUGUGAGAUUCUUAUUUUUUUCUUUAGGUCCCUUGGGCAAACAUCUCCAUGUGUAACCGCAUUUUCAGCUGGUCAAGCUGCAGCAUAUAAGAUGUUUCAGACGAUCAAACGAAAGCCUUUGAUUGAUGCUUAUGACGUUAAUGGAAAGGUUCUUGAAGAUAUCCGAGGAGACAUUGAACUUAAAGAUGUGCAUUUCAGUUACCCUGCGAGGCCAGACGAGGAUAUAUUCAACGGAUUCUCUCUGUUUAUUCCCAGCGGUGCAACAGCAGCAUUAGUAGGAGAAAGUGGAAGUGGAAAAUCUACCGUGAUCAGUUUGAUUGAGAGGUUUUAUGAUCCAAAAUCCGGCGCAGUACUAAUUGAUGGAGUUGAUCUUAAGGAGUUUCAGUUGAAAUGGAUCAGAAGCAAAAUCGGAUUGGUCAGUCAAGAGCCGGUUCUGUUUUCGUCGAGCAUCAUGGAGAAUAUCGCCUAUGGAAAAGAAAAUGCGACGCUUCAAGAGAUUAAAGCUGUAACAGAGCUAACUAAUGCGGCGAAGUUCAUAGAUAACUUACCUCAGGGGUUGGAUACAUUGGUAGGAGAGCACGGGACACAGCUCUCGGGAGGACAGAAACAGAGGAUAGCGAUUGCGAGAGCUAUUCUUAAAGAUCCGCAGAUUUUGCUGCUGGAUGAAGCAACAAGCGCGCUCGAUGCAGAAUCCGAAAGAGUUGUUCAAGAGGCUUUAGAUAGAGUGAUGGUUAACCGGACUACGCUGAUUAUUGCGCAUAGGUUAAGCACGGUAAGAAAUGCGGAUAUGAUUGCAGUAAUUCACCGCGGAAAAAUGGUGGAAAAAGGUUCACAUUCCAAGUUGUUGAAAGAUUCCGAGGGAGCUUAUUCACAGCUCAUUCGGUUACAAGAGAUAAACAAGGGUAACGAUGUGAAACCAUCAGACGUAUCUGCGGGAUCAUCUUUCCGGAACUCGAGUUUGAAAAAAUCAAUAGAGGGAUCGGUUAUCAGUGGCGGAACCUCGUCGGUUGGAAAUAGCAGCCGUCAUCAUUCUUUGAAUGUUCUUGGUUUAUUUGCAGGACUAGACCUCGGUAGCGGUAGCCAACGAGUAGGUCAAGAGGAAACUGGAACGGCAAGUCAAGAACCGCUCCCAAAAGUAUCACUCACCCGAAUUGCGGUUCUAAACAAACCUGAGAUCCCUGUUCUCCUUUUAGGAACUGUAGCAGCAGCAAUUAAUGGCGCAAUUUUCCCGCUUUUCGGGAUUCUGAUUUCAAGAGUCAUUGAAGCGUUCUUCAAACCAGUUGACCAACUAAAGAAAGAAUCAAGAUUCUGGGCUAUUAUAUUUGUAGCUCUGGGAGUAACUUCGUUGAUUGUCUCACCGUCUCAAAUGUAUCUGUUUGCAGUAGCUGGAGGAAAACUAAUUCGACGAAUUCAGUCAAUGUGCUUUGAGAAAGCGGUUCACAUGGAAGUUGGGUGGUUCGAUGAGCCAGAGAACUCGAGUGGUACAAUGGGGGCCAGGCUCUCGACUGAUGCAGCUUUGAUUAGAGCUCUAGUUGGUGAUGCAUUGUCUCUAGCGGUUCAAAAUGCUGCAUCUGCUGCGUCUGGAUUGAUUAUAGCGUUCACUGCGAGUUGGGAACUGGCGCUUAUAAUAUUAUUGAUGAUUCCUCUUAUUGGUAUCAAUGGCUUCCUUCAAGUCAAGUUUAUGAAAGGAUUCAGCGCCGACGCAAAGGUCCGUUCAUCAAUCAAUUCCAUUUUUUUUCGGUUCUCCAAAAAUCCUGUGUUUUUUUUCUUUUGAAUCAAGAAACUUACUCUGGUUUUGGAUAACUAUGUAGUCAAAGUAUGAGGAGGCGAGUCAGGUAGCGAAUGAUGCGGUAGGUAGUAUAAGAACAGUUGCUUCUUUCUGCGCGGAGGAAAAAGUGAUGCAGAUGUAUAAGAAGCAAUGCGAAGGUCCGAUAAAAGAUGGAAUCAAGCAAGGUUUCAUCAGCGGAUUAGGGUUUGGAUUCUCUUUCUUCAUUCUGUUUUGUUUCUACGCGACAAGCUUCUACGCGGCGGCUAGAUUGGUUGAAGAUGGCAGGACUACUUUCAUUGAUGUUUUCCAGGUAAAUUGCUGUCCUAAUCAUGCUUGAAUAUUUUUGAAUAUCUCUGUGAACUAGUAAUGAAGUAGAAUGGAUCUUGCAGGUGUUCUUUGCGUUAACAAUGGCAGCGAUUGGGGUUUCUCAGUCGAGUACAUUAGCUCCAGAUUCGAGCAAAGCCAAGGCUGCAGCUGCUUCGAUCUUUGCAAUCAUCGAUAGAAAAUCGAAGAUAGACUCGAGCGAUGAGUCAGGGACAGUGUUGGAGAACAUUAAGGGAGAUAUUGAGCUUCGUCACUUAAGCUUCACUUAUCCAGCAAGACCAGACAUUCAGAUCUUUCGUGAUCUUUGCUUAACCAUUCAUGCAGGAAAGGUAAACAAAUCAGUGGACUAAACCCAAACUUUCUCUUAAGAAAUUUUUUGAUCAGUUCUGCCUCUCUUUGGUUUUCUUUCAGACGGUUGCUUUGGUAGGAGAAAGCGGGUCGGGGAAAUCGACGGUGAUCUCGCUGUUACAAAGAUUUUACGAUCCAGAUUCUGGUCAUAUAACUUUAGACGGAGUUGAGCUCAAAAAGCUGCAAUUGAAAUGGUUGAGACAACAAAUGGGACUAGUGGGACAAGAACCGGUCUUGUUCAACGACACGAUUCGAGCCAAUAUUGCUUAUGGCAAAGGAAGCGAAGAGGCCGCAACCGAGUCUGAAAUCAUAGCCGCUGCAGAACUCG